AACGAACGCUGGCGGCAUGCCUAACACAUGCAAGUCGAACGAGACCUUCGGGUCUAGUGGCGCACGGGUGCGUAACGCGGGGGAACCUGCCCUUAGGUUCGGAAUAACUCCCCGAAAGGGGUGCUAAUACCGGAUAAUGUCUUCGGACCAAAGAUUUAUCGCCUUUGGAUGGGCCCGCGUUGGAUUAGCUAGUUGGUAGGGUAAAAGCCUACCAAGGCGACGAUCCAUAGCUGGUCUGAGAGGAUGAUCAGCCACACUGGGACUGAGACACGGCCCAGACUCCUACGGGAGGCAGCAGUGGGGAAUAUUGGACCAUGGGCGAAAGCCUGAUCCAGCAAUGCCGCGUGAGUGAUGAAGGCCUUAGGGUUGUAAAGCUCUUUUACCCGGGAUGAUAAUGACAGUACCGGGAGAAUAAGCUCCGGCUAACUCCGUG
This 433-nucleotide ribosomal RNA is filed under the name uncultured bacterium. RNAcentral's name for it is "partial 16S ribosomal RNA". It matches the Rfam family "Bacterial small subunit ribosomal RNA", at positions 29 to 507 of the family's 1533-position model. The record is from RNAcentral.